This 774-nucleotide ribosomal RNA is filed under the name uncultured Neisseria sp. RNAcentral describes it as "bacterial SSU rRNA". It matches the Rfam family "Bacterial small subunit ribosomal RNA", at positions 71 to 846 of the family's 1533-position model. The record is from RNAcentral. Lineage: Bacteria; Pseudomonadati; Pseudomonadota; Betaproteobacteria; Neisseriales; Neisseriaceae.
CUUGCUUCUUGGGUGGCGAGUGGCGAACGGGUGAGUAAUAUAUCGGAACGUACCGAGUAAUGGGGGAUAACUAAUCGAAAGAUUAGCUAAUACCGCAUAUUCUCUGAGGAGGAAAGCAGGGGACCUUCGGGCCUUGCGUUAUUCGAGCGGCCGAUAUCUGAUUAGCUAGUUGGUGGGGUAAAGGCCUACCAAGGCGACGAUCAGUAGCGGGUCUGAGAGGAUGAUCCGCCACACUGGGACUGAGACACGGCCCAGACUCCUACGGGAGGCAGCAGUGGGGAAUUUUGGACAAUGGGCGCAAGCCUGAUCCAGCCAUGCCGCGUGUCUGAAGAAGGCCUUCGGGUUGUAAAGGACUUUUGUCAGGGAAGAAAAGGCUGUUGCUAAUAUCGACAGCUGAUGACGGUACCUGAAGAAUAAGCACCGGCUAACUACGUGCCAGCAGCCGCGGUAAUACGUAGGGUGCGAGCGUUAAUCGGAAUUACUGGGCGUAAAGCGAUCGCAGACGGUUACUUAAGCAGGAUGUGAAAUCCCCGGGCUCAACCUGGGAACUGCGUUCUGAGCUGGGUGACUAGAGUGUGUCAGAGGGAGGUAGAAUUCCACGUGUAGCAGUGAAAUGCGUAGAGAUGUGGAGGAAUACCGAUGGCGAAGGCAGCCUCCUGGGAUAACACUGACGUUCAUGCUCGAAAGCGUGGGUAGCAAACAGGAUUAGAUACCCUGGUAGUCCACGCCCUAAACGAUGUCAAUUAGCUGUUGGGCAACUUGAUUGCUUAGUAG